Molecule: non-coding RNA, 45 nt
Organism: Picea glauca (white spruce)
Lineage: Eukaryota; Viridiplantae; Streptophyta; Pinopsida; Pinales; Pinaceae
Source: Rfam
AUAAUGGUGUUUCUAAACACCACCAACUCUUCUUGGAUUUUUUAU